CCUACGGGAGGCAGCAGUGAGGAAUAUUGGUCAAUGGACGGAAGUCUGAACCAGCCAUGCCGCGUGCAGGAAGACGGCUCUAUGAGUUGUAAACUGCUUUUGUAUAAGGGUAAACCUGAAUACGUGUAUUCAGCUGAAAGUACUGUACGAAUAAGGAUCGGCUAACUCCGUGCCAGCAGCCGCGGUAAUACGGAGGAUCCAAGCGUUAUCCGGAUUUAUUGGGUUUAAAGGGUGCGUAGGCGGAUUGAUAAGUUAGAUGUGAAAGGUUCGGGCUUAACUCGGAAACUGCCUCUAAUACUGGUGAUCUAGAGAGUAGAUGCGGUAGGCGGAAUGUAUGGUGUAGCGGUGAAAUGCUUAGAGAUCAUACAGAACACCGAUUGCGAAGGCAGCUUACCAAUCUAUAUCUGACGUUGAGGCACGAAAGCGUGGGGAGCAAACAGGAUUAGAUACCCGGGUAGUC
Molecule: ribosomal RNA, 460 nt
Filed under: uncultured bacterium
Lineage: Bacteria
Description: partial 16S ribosomal RNA
Rfam family: Bacterial small subunit ribosomal RNA
Source: RNAcentral